This 470-nucleotide ribosomal RNA is filed under the name uncultured Sphingobacteriales bacterium. Its description in RNAcentral is "bacterial SSU rRNA". It matches the Rfam family "Bacterial small subunit ribosomal RNA", at positions 910 to 1382 of the family's 1533-position model. The record is from RNAcentral. Lineage: Bacteria; Pseudomonadati; Bacteroidota; Sphingobacteriia; Sphingobacteriales.
UUGACGGGGCCCGCACAAGCGGAGGAACAUGUGGUUAAUUCGAUGAUACGCGAGGAACCUUACCUGGGCUUAAAUGUAGAGUGCAUUUUUUAGAGAUAGAAAUUCCCUUCGGGGCUUUCUGCAAGGUGCUGCAUGGUUGUCGUCAGCUCGUGCCGUGAGGUGUCGGGUUAAGUCCCAUAACGAGCGCAACCCUUAUCGUUAGUUGCCAGCUGGUAAAGCAGGGGACUCUAGCGAAACUGCCACCGUAAGGUGAGAGGAAGGUGGGGAUGACGUCAAAUCAGCACGGCCCUUAUGUCCAGGGCUACACACGUGUUACAAUGGCCGGCACAGAGGGCAGCUACCUGGUGACAGGAUGCUAAUCUCGAAAACCGGUCUCAGUUCGGAUCGAAGUCUGCAACUCGACUUCGUGAAGCUGGAUUCGCUAGUAAUCGCGCAUCAGCCAUGGCGCGGUGAAUACGUUCCCGGGCCUU